GGUUCAUUCAAAUUUCUGCCCUAUCAACUUUCGAUGGCUGGGUCUUGGCCAGCCAUGGUAGCAACGGGUAACGGAGGGUUAGGGCUCGACCCCGGAGAAGGAGCCUGAGAAACGGCUACUACAUCCAAGGAAGGCAGCAGGCGCGCAAAUUACCCAAUCCCGACCGGGGAGGUAGUGACAAUAAAUACUGAUACAGGNCUCUUUUGGGUCUUGUAAUUGGAAUGAGUACAAUUUAAAUCCCUUAACGAGGAACAAUUGGAGGGCAAGUCUGGUGCCAGCAGCCGCGGUAAUUCCAGCUCCAAUAGCGUAUAUUAAAGUUGUUGAGGUUAAAAAGCUCGUAGUUG
RNAcentral lists this ribosomal RNA (344 nucleotides) under uncultured fungus. RNAcentral's name for it is "SSU rRNA". It matches the Rfam family "Eukaryotic small subunit ribosomal RNA", at positions 292 to 636 of the family's 1831-position model. The record is from RNAcentral. Lineage: Eukaryota; Fungi.